GCUCCUUUAGCUCAGUUGGCCAGAGCAGCUGACUCUUAAUCAGCGGGUCGGGGGUUCGAGUCCCCCAAGGAGCA
Molecule: transfer RNA, 74 nt
Filed under: Bacteroidota bacterium
Lineage: Bacteria; Pseudomonadati; Bacteroidota
Also listed under: 6 other names
Description: tRNA-Lys
Rfam family: tRNA
About the family: Transfer RNA (tRNA) molecules are approximately 80 nucleotides in length. Their secondary structure includes four short double-helical elements and three loops (D, anti-codon, and T loops).
Source: RNAcentral